This 87-nucleotide non-coding RNA is filed under the name Selenihalanaerobacter shriftii. Its description in RNAcentral is "c-di-GMP-II sequence". It matches the Rfam family "Cyclic di-GMP-II riboswitch aptamer". Lineage: Bacteria; Bacillati; Bacillota; Clostridia; Halanaerobiales; Halobacteroidaceae. The record is from Rfam by way of RNAcentral.
UUACUCAUUGGAAGCUAAGACUUGUCAUUCCUUAACUGGUCAUCAAUGGAGUGAUAGUGAGCUAGUGAUGAAACCGGCCAAGAGUAA